This is an RNA transcript of Carlito syrichta (Philippine tarsier), 883 nucleotides long. It is a transcript of the gene named ataxin-3 pseudogene, with no coding region annotated. The transcript has a single exon. NCBI's taxonomy places the organism in Eukaryota, Metazoa, Chordata, Mammalia, Primates, Tarsiidae. The record is from RefSeq and is a predicted model, not a curated record.
AUGGAGUCCAUCUUUCACGAGAAACAAGAAGGCUCGCUGUGCGCGCAGCACUGCCUGAACAACCUGCUGCAGGGGGAGUACUUCAGCCCCGUGGAGCUGUCCUCCAUCACACACCAGCUGGACGAGGAGGAGCAGAUGAGGAUGGCGGAGCGGGGUGUAACCAGCAAAGAUUACCGGACGUUUCUGCAGCAGCCUUCUGGAAAUAUGGAUGACAGUGGCUUUUUCUCUAUUCAGGUGAUAAGCAAUGCCUUGAAAGUUUGGGGCUUAGAACUCAUUCUCUUCAACAGUCCAGAGUAUCAGAGGCUCAGGAUCAACCCUAUAAAUGAAAGAUCAUUUAUAUGCAAUUAUAAAGAGCACUGGUUUACAGUUAGAAAAUUAGGAAAACAGUGGUUUAACUUGAAUUCUCUCUUGACGGGUCCCGAAUUAAUAUCAGAUACAUACCUUGCACUAUUCCUGGUGCAAUUACAGCAGGAAGGCUACUCCAUAUUUGUUGUUAAGGGCGACCUACCCGACUGUGAGGCCAACCAGCUCCUGCAGAUGGUCAGGGUCCAGCAGAUGCAGAGGCCAAAGCUCAUUGGAGAGGAACUGGCACAGCUGAAAGAGCAGAGAGUCCAUAAGACAGACCUGGAACGCAUCUUUGGAGCAAAUGAAGGCUCGGGCGUGGCAGACCAAGAUGAGGAGGACUUGCAGAGGGCUUUGGCACUGAGUCGCCAAGAAAUGGACAUGGAAGAUGAGAAAGGAAGCGGAUCUCCACAGGGCCAUUCAGCUGAGUAUGCAAGUUAGUUCCAGGAAUAUAUCUCCAGAUGUUCCACAGACGUCAGGUACAAAUCUUACUUCACAAGAGCUGCGGAAGAGAAGAGAAGCCUACUUUAAAAAGCAGCAA